AAAAAAAUAAAAUAAAAUAACCAUCUGGUUCAUAUCGUUUGUACAUUUAAAAAAAGCCCAUUGUUAAAUGUUUAAAAACUUAAAAGUAAAAAUGAAGUUUUAUGCAUUCAUAUAUAUUUAUAUUACUACAUUAGUUUUAACAUUAUCACUUAGAAUUCAAAAUAAUUAUUUUAUAAAUCAUCAAGUGUUAAAGAGCCCACAGACAAAUAAUAAACCAAACAAACGAGUGUUCAGUAAAAAUAUAUUAAAAAAACAAAAUUAUUCGCAAACAAAUGGAUUUAAUACAACACAAUUUUUAAAAAUAUUAAAAGGAGGAAUUUUUAGUAAUAUUCAUUUAUUGGGUUUAUCUAUUAUAAUGUUGACCUUUGGAUCAACAAUAGGCUUGUUUUACAAAAGUA
Molecule: long non-coding RNA, 398 nt
Organism: Piliocolobus tephrosceles (Ugandan red Colobus)
Lineage: Eukaryota; Metazoa; Chordata; Mammalia; Primates; Cercopithecidae
Exons: 3
Source: RefSeq, a predicted model, not a curated record